This 344-nucleotide long non-coding RNA is filed under the name Vigna radiata. RNAcentral's name for it is "long non-coding RNA (VRAD_LNC003497)". The record is from RNAcentral. Lineage: Eukaryota; Viridiplantae; Streptophyta; Magnoliopsida; Fabales; Fabaceae.
GGGGGGUGAAUUGCUGUUGUUUCAAAAACACUUUCUUUUCGCAAUCUUGCAAACAAAGUAUAAAGCUUUUCGAAAUUUCUUGAAUUGCAAGUAAUCAAAAUAUGUAUGCAGCGAAAAUUAGGUAGUUGACUGCGUAAAGAAUAAACUCGACUAGAAUGUAAAAGAUAAGGGAUAGAGAAUGCAAACACAAAUUUUUAUACUGGUUCUGCCAACAAUGCCUACCUCCAGUGUCCUUCCAACCCAGGAAGCAAAUGCACUAUAAUGGUUGCGGUUUUUACAACAAAGAAUUUAUAGAAAACCUCCACGUCAAAAAUAUAAAUCCCCUUUCUAACCCAAAACCAAAC